GCUGCCAUCAAUUGUUUCAGACACAGUUCUCUGCUUGAAAACGGGAUUGCAACGUGAGGGCUGCUCAUCAUCCCGAGCAGGCGGCUUUGCAGCAGUUCUAAGAGCCAGGCAGGUCUGAGGUCUGCAGCGCAUCAGGUGCCGCACAGACACGUUCUGAAGGGACCUGAACCUGGCUCCACGGACCCCUUACCUCCCCAGAGCUGUCUGUGAGAACGCUGAGCUAACUAUGCCACGAACCAGAGAUCAAAGAUCCUAUGCUACCCAGGGAAACUGAGCUCACCAAGAGCUACAAGCAGCUUGUCCACCACGAGGCAGCAAGUCACUGAGUGGGAUGAAGACACAGGAGCUCAGGCGUUGUGUGCCCAGCAGCUCACAAACUUCACCUGCAGUGCUACCAGGAGAGCUGUGGUAUGUGCUACCUGGGGAACUGCAUCUCCUGCUGCCUGCUGGUCUCCUGUGGCUCGGAUGUGGGACGAGCAGCGGCCGCUCCAGCAGGCCGUGCGUGCGCCCUGAAGGUGGUGGUAAGCUUUUGACACAUUCUGCCCCAACCGCUUUUCCUUAUUUCCUUGGAGGAAAAUGCA
Oxyura jamaicensis (ruddy duck) is the source of this 581-nucleotide long non-coding RNA. RefSeq lists it as uncharacterized. The transcript is spliced from 2 exons. Lineage: Eukaryota; Metazoa; Chordata; Aves; Anseriformes; Anatidae. The record is from RefSeq and is a predicted model, not a curated record.